RNAcentral lists this ribosomal RNA (781 nucleotides) under uncultured Neocallimastigales. RNAcentral's name for it is "partial large subunit ribosomal RNA". It matches the Rfam family "Eukaryotic large subunit ribosomal RNA", at positions 24 to 616 of the family's 3401-position model. Lineage: Eukaryota; Fungi; Neocallimastigomycota; Neocallimastigomycetes; Neocallimastigales. The record is from RNAcentral.
UACGACUACAUAUCAGGCAUAUCAAUAAGCGGAGGAAAAGAAACUAACAAGGAUUCCCUUAGUAACGGCGAGUGAAGCGGGAAGAGCUCAAAUUUGAAAUCUUCAAGGGUUUACCUUGUACGAAUUGUAGUUUAAAGAAGUGUUUUCUGUUGGAGUUUUGGUAAAAGUUCUUUGGAAUAGGACAUCAUAGAGGGUGAGAAUCCCGUAUUUGACCAGUUACUUUCAGCUGUGUGAUACACUUUCAAAGAGUCGGAUUGUUUGGGAAUGCAGUCCAAGAUGGGUGGUAAAUUUCAUCUAAAGCUAAAUAUUGGCGAGAGACCGAUAGCGAACAAGUACCGUGAGGGAAAGAUGAAAAGAACUUUGUAAAGAGAGUUAAACAGUACGUGAAAUUGUCAAAAGGGAAGCGUUUGACACCAGUGUUGUUUUCUCGAAAAUCAAUUAAAAAAAGGUGGGAUUUUGUGUUGUAUUGACCUUAUCAGCUUUCUGCACUCUUUUUCUAGUCUUUUUUAAUGCACUUUUCGUUUAACAAGUCAACAUCAAUUUCUUUUGUUGUAAAAGGGUCAUUGGAAGGUGGCUUUCUCUUCGGAGAAAGUGUUUAUAGCCUUUGAGCUCUAGCAAUCGGAGAGACUGAGGUCUGCAGCGUAGAUCCUUCGGGGUUAGAUACAUUUGUGCUAAGCUACAGCUUUUCAUAGACAACUUGUUGACUAUGAUUAGUCAUUGUAGCUUACCUCGCUUAUGCUAUUUUACCUACGCUUAGGAUGUUGAGCGCAUGUCUCUCUCU